CGCGGAUGAUCUCCCGUGCGGGGGUGAUUAGUGGCGAACGGUGAGUAAUACGUGAGUAACCUGCCCUUGACUCUGGGAUAAGCCUGGGAAACCGGGUCUAAUACUGGAUACGACCCCCUGUCGCAUGGUGGGGGGUGGAAAGGGUUUGACUGGUUUUGGAUGGGCUCACGGCCUAUCAGCUUGUUGGUGGGGUAAUGGCUCACCAAGGCGACGACGGGUAGCCGGCCUGAGAGGGUGACCGGCCACACUGGGACUGAGACACGGCCCAGACUCCUACGGGAGGCAGCAGUGGGGAAUAUUGCACAAUGGGCGGAAGCCUGAUGCAGCGACGCCGCGUGAGGGAUGACGGCCUUCGGGUUGUAAACCUCUUUCACAGGGAAGAAGCCACAAGUGACGGUACCUGCAGAAGAAGCGCCGGCUAACUACGUGCCAGCAGCCGCGGUAAUACGUAGGGCGCAAGCGUUGUCCGGAAUUAUUGGGCGUAAAGAGCUCGUAGGCGGCUUGUCGCGUCUGCUGUGAAAGCCCGGGGCUCAACCCCGGGUCUGCAGCGUGGCACGGGUAGACUAGAGUGCAGUAGGGGAGACUGGAAUUCCUGGUGUAGCGGUGAAAU
RNAcentral lists this ribosomal RNA (610 nucleotides) under Kocuria sp. 20L4. RNAcentral describes it as "bacterial SSU rRNA". It matches the Rfam family "Bacterial small subunit ribosomal RNA", at positions 65 to 687 of the family's 1533-position model. Lineage: Bacteria; Bacillati; Actinomycetota; Actinomycetes; Micrococcales; Micrococcaceae. The record is from RNAcentral.